This 68-nucleotide transfer RNA is filed under the name Paratimomenus flavocapitatus. RNAcentral describes it as "tRNA-Leu". Lineage: Eukaryota; Metazoa; Arthropoda; Insecta; Dermaptera; Forficulidae. The record is from RNAcentral.
GUUGUUUUGGCAGAUUAGUGCAAUAAUCUUAGAAUUUAUUUAUACAACAAUUUGGGUUGUAAAUAACA